RNAcentral lists this ribosomal RNA (449 nucleotides) under uncultured bacterium. RNAcentral describes it as "bacterial SSU rRNA". It matches the Rfam family "Bacterial small subunit ribosomal RNA", at positions 29 to 521 of the family's 1533-position model. The record is from RNAcentral.
AGCGAACGCUGGCGGCAGGCUUAACACAUGCAAGUCGAACGGGCGUAGCAAUACGUCAGUGGCAGACGGGUGAGUAACGCGUGGGAACGUACCUUUUGGUUCGGAACAACCCAGGGAAACUUGGGCUAAUACCGGAUAAGCCCUUACGGGGAAAGAUUUAUCGCCGAAAGAUCGGCCCGCGUCUGAUUAGCUAGUUGGUGUGGUAACGGCGCACCAAGGCGACGAUCAGUAGCUGGUCUGAGAGGAUGAUCAGCCACAUUGGGACUGAGACACGGCCCAAACUCCUACGGGAGGCAGCAGUGGGGAAUAUUGGACAAUGGGCGCAAGCCUGAUCCAGCCAUGCCGCGUGAGUGAUGAAGGCCCUAGGGUUGUAAAGCUCUUUUGUGCGGGAAGAUAAUGACGGUACCGCAAGAAUAAGCCCCGGCUAACUUCGUGCCAGCAGCCGCGGU